Molecule: unclassified non-coding RNA, 324 nt
Filed under: soil metagenome
Description: partial contains 5.8S ribosomal RNA, internal transcribed spacer 2, and large subunit ribosomal RNA
Rfam family: 5.8S ribosomal RNA (bases 1-120)
Source: RNAcentral
GAUGAAGAACGUAGCGAAAUGCGAUAAGUAGUGUGAAUUGCAGAAUUCAGUGAAUCAUCGAAUCUUUGAACGCACAUUGCGCCCCUUGGUAUUCCAUGGGGCAUGCCUGUUCGAGCGUCAUUUGUACCUUCAAGCUUUGCUUGGUGUUGGGUGUUUGUCCCGAGGGACUCGCCUUAAAGUAAUUGGCAGCCAGUGUUUGGUUUUGAAGCGCAGCACAAGUCGCGAUUCAAGGCUACACGCCCGCUUCCACAAGCCCUUUUUCACUUUUGACCUCGGAUCAGGUAGGGAUACCCGCUGAACUUAAGCAUAUCAAUAAGCGGAGGA